Long non-coding RNA from Neogale vison (American mink), 660 nucleotides. RefSeq lists it as uncharacterized. The transcript has 4 exons. The record is from RefSeq and is a predicted model, not a curated record. Lineage: Eukaryota; Metazoa; Chordata; Mammalia; Carnivora; Mustelidae.
ACGAAGUGACCGUCACCCAUCCUUUUCAUCUAGUAGAACUGAUCUCAGGAUCUACAGAGGAGAGGUGAAAUAGAGUAUUACAGAGAUGAUGUGAUAUCCCCAGGGAGCCAUACCUGUUUCCUUCAAAGGCAGGAGUGCCUGUGCACCGUAGGCCAGUGGCGGAUCCCAUUGUUGCUAAUGAAGCCAUACGAGGACCUCUGCUGAGACCAGAAUUAGCAGCUCUGGACCUUUAAAGUGAUAGCAUUUCCCAGCCUUAAACUGAGCAGCUGAGCAAAAAACGCAUCCUUCCUGUAAUCAACACAGCAAAAUGAGAGGCGGAGAAACCAUGCUGAGAAGAAGCAAGGUCAUAUGUUGAACUGUUUUCCCUUUGGCCCAGAAGACAGCUCAGACUCAACACUGGCCCUGAGUUUACCUCCCUCACUUUGGCUCAAGACCUGAAGUGAUGUGCUUCCGCCCCAGAGCACCUUCCAUCGUGUGAGGCCCGAAACAUGACCACCAGUAGCCACGCAUGUCCUGUCCCCUCAGUGAAUGGACACAUGACUCACUACCCAGCCGCGCCCUACCCGUUACUCUUCCCACCAGUCAUCGGAGGACUUUCCCUGCCUCCCCUCCAUGGCCUGCAUGGCCACCCUCCUCCAAGUGGAUGCAGUACCCCAUCCC